RNAcentral lists this long non-coding RNA (794 nucleotides) under Bos taurus (domestic cattle). RNAcentral describes it as "long non-coding RNA NONBTAT021872". Lineage: Eukaryota; Metazoa; Chordata; Mammalia; Artiodactyla; Bovidae. The record is from RNAcentral.
CUUGGGAGUAUGCUUUUAAUAAACUCUCCAGAGCCCCUGCUCUGAAAUAUUUAAGAAGCUGCUACAUCUUCUCACACUCAGUGAAAAUGACCAUCCCAAGCCAAGGUUUACUGUGCUUUAAGAACUCACACUGACACCAAACAUGUUAUUAUUAUAGGUGCUUUCUUGCUAGGCCUGCCUCAUUUAUCUGAACAAGAAUUCCUAUUUAAAAUUCUAUGAGACACCCAUUCACAAGAUUUCUAGUACAGACACACCUCUAAGAAUUCCAGUUCUGGAAGGAUGUAAUUAGCCAAUUAAAAUUUUCCUUCAGAUGGGGGGAAAAAAAAAGCUUGAAUGGCAAUAGUGGUUCUUCUGUGCAGGUAACUCUAUAUAUUUAGGUCAUGAGUAAGGGCUGUGUGAGCAAAUAUAUGUCAGUGUUUGUCUUAAAAAGAGCAAAUGCAUAUAGAAUUGUUAAAAUGAGCUACCAGCAGAAACACUCCUGUGCAUGCCAGUUGGCCUUGGCUGGUAUUCUCUGGAUUAUCUAAGGUUACAAGCAAACAGAAGAUUCUGUGUGGGGAAGGGGCAGUUGGGUUUUCCCUCACCACCCCCCCUCCAUGUUUUUCUAAUCCUAACACCUGAGGGCAGCAGAUACAGUAAACAAGGGGUUGUUUGUAAUGCAAAUCCAAGCAGCAGGGCUGACUAGGGACAGCUCCCACCCCAAGUCCAAACACAAAUGGUCACCCUGCUCCUGACACCCUGGAUGCAAACCUAUCACUGUGGAUGUCCGCUAGGCAAACACUCAGUCCUGCUAAGAA